GACAGAGGGUGCAAGCGUUGUUCGGAAUUAUUGGGCGUAAAGCGCACGUAGGCGGUCUGUUAAGUCGGGUGUGAAAGCCCGGGGCUCAACCCCGGAAGUGCACUCGAAACUAGCAGACUUGAGUCCCGGAGAGGAUGGCGGAAUUCCUGGUGUAGAGGUGAAAUUCGUAGAUAUCAGGAGGAACAUCCGUGGCGAAGGCGGCCAUCUGGACGGUGACUGACGCUGAGGUGCGAAAGCGUGGGGAGCAAACAGG
RNAcentral lists this unclassified non-coding RNA (253 nucleotides) under uncultured Myxococcales bacterium. Its description in RNAcentral is "contains 16S-23S intergenic spacer region". It matches the Rfam family "Bacterial small subunit ribosomal RNA", at positions 524 to 776 of the family's 1533-position model. Lineage: Bacteria; Pseudomonadati; Myxococcota; Myxococcia; Myxococcales. The record is from RNAcentral.